AGAACGAACGCUGGCGGCAGGCUUAACACAUGCAAGUCGAACGCCCCGCAAGGGGAGUGGCAGACGGGUGAGUAACGCGUGGGAACCUACCCAAUUCUACGGAACAACUGAGGGAAACUUCAGCUAAUACCGUAUACGCCCUACGGGGGAAAGAUUUAUCGGAGUUGGAUGGGCCCGCGUUGGAUUAGCUAGUUGGUGAGGUAACGGCUCACCAAGGCGACGAUCCAUAGCUGGUCUGAGAGGAUGAUCAGCCACACUGGGACUGAGACACGGCCCAGACUCCUACGGGAGGCAGCAGUGGGGAAUAUUGGACAAUGGGCGCAAGCCUGAUCCAGCCAUGCCGCGUGAGUGAUGAAGGCCUUAGGGUGUAAAGCUCUUUCAGUGGGGAAGAUAAUGACGGUACCCACAGAAGAAGCCCGGCUAACUUCGUGCCAGCAGCCGC
RNAcentral lists this ribosomal RNA (442 nucleotides) under uncultured soil bacterium. RNAcentral describes it as "bacterial SSU rRNA". It matches the Rfam family "Bacterial small subunit ribosomal RNA", at positions 26 to 518 of the family's 1533-position model. The record is from RNAcentral.